RNAcentral lists this ribosomal RNA (495 nucleotides) under uncultured bacterium. RNAcentral's name for it is "partial 16S ribosomal RNA". It matches the Rfam family "Bacterial small subunit ribosomal RNA", at positions 28 to 507 of the family's 1533-position model. The record is from RNAcentral.
GAUGAACGCUAGCGAUAUGCUUAACACAUGCAAGUCGAGGGGCAGCAUGGUCUUAGCUUGCUAAGACUGAUGGCGACCGGCGCACGGGUGCGUAACGCGUAUGCAACUUGCCUCACAGAGGGGGAUAACCCGUCGAAAGACUGACUAAUACCGCGUACACUUGGGAUAGGGCAUCCUGACCCAAGGAAAUGAAAUUCGCUCUUAGAUAGGCAUGCGUCCCAUUUGCUAGUUGGUGAGGGAACGGCACACCCAAGCGACGAGGCGGAGGGGAAGGGAGAGGGGGGGUUGAAACCCCACACUGGUACUGAGACACGGACCAGACUCCUACGGGAGGCAGCAGUGAGGAAUAUUGGGCAAGGGGCGAGAGCCUGAACCAGCCAAGUCGCGUGAAGGAGGACUGUCUUAUGGAUUGUAAACUUCUUUUAUACGGGAAUAACAAGAGCAACGUGUGGCUCCCUGCAUGUACCGUAUGAAUAAGCAUCGGCUAACUCCGUG